UACCAACUGAGCCACAUCCCCAGAUUUGAGU
This 31-nucleotide non-coding RNA is filed under the name Mus musculus (house mouse). Lineage: Eukaryota; Metazoa; Chordata; Mammalia; Rodentia; Muridae. The record is from RNAcentral.